CAAAAUUUAGGAUACUAAUAUCUCAUAUAAGAAAACUACAAGAACAAAACAGCGGGGAGCAUAACAUCUAACAAAUCAAGCCUCAACUCUCUCAGGUGGUGCUGCCUCCUCAGCGGCGUAGACAAUAACCUUAUUGGCAGGCUUUGCCAAGAUAUCAAAGUACUCUUGGAAUGGAGAUUUUGUGAAGCGAGUCUCUUUCCAAAAGUCUGGAGUGAGGAACCCAUAAGUCUUCAUUAAACAAUCGAAGGUAGCCUGCAUACAUAAUGAGUGAUAUUAGACUUGAACACAAUUAGUACACCACCUGCAGAUAUAUUAUAAACGAGCAACAAAGAACCAAGUGGAGCUGAUUCUAACAUUCAACCAGAGAGGUCAAUGCUGGGAAAGCAAAGAAUGGAAUGCCUGUUCUGAAACAAAGAUUUUAUACUAUAUAAACACCAUCACCCACGCUGUGGAUAGAAAUAACAGUUGGUUACAGAAAAAACUUCAAUUAUAUUGCAGUCCCUUCUUUAAAAGAAGGAUGCAAUAGAGUCAUAUUAUAGCUUUCUAGGAACAAAGGGCUAACAUCAAGCAUUGCAGCAUCCACAUUCAAGAAUUAAACUUAACCUAACUAGAAAGAAAAACACACAAGUAUAGAACUAAUAAUGGCACAGACUCCUGUCCCACAAUUUGACUUGCUUAACACUGCAUUCAAUAACUACACACACUGUCCGAAUUUAACUGAUACUCUCAAUAUAUCUACCAUUUAGGAACUAACCUAAACAACUUUGUUUUGGACAAUGACCAUAUUUGAAACUAUAAAAUUCGCAAUUGUUACUAUAUCUGUUAUACAAUAAGGACACAAAAAGCAUGGAUCAGAUUGUAUUGGUUCAAAGCACAAGACAACAUUUCUAUCUCAGAUGGUAUAUAUAUACAAAGAUCAUAUCUAUUUACAACAUGUUUCACUGGAUCAGACUACCCGGUCUCCUAGAUGCCUUUACAUGUAGUCAUCUCCAUAUUAACUAUUUCAAAUAUAUUUAAAUCAAAAUGUACAGUUGGUUAAUUCUUUUGUUCAAUGUUGUUUGGUACACCAGAUGGGAUAAGUAGGGAUAUUUAUUAUCCGGUGUAGCAACCAACCAUAAAUAUAAUGUUAUACACAUCACUUCUUAAGAUGUGAUAUCAGUAGAUAUAGUAAGCAUAUAAUCAUGUAAUUAUGGAUACCACAACAGAUUAGAACAUGGUAAUAGAACCAACACACAAUCAUAAAAGAUCGAACCUUAACGAAGUUUCCAAGGGUUUUGGUGGAUCCACGAGAAGAGGUAAAGACAUCUUCAAUACCAGCAAACUGAAGAACCUUCUUAGGAACACGAGCAGCAACAAUACCAGCACCACGAGGAGCAGGGACCAUCCUCACAGUAACAGAACCACAUUUCCCAGUAACCUUACAAGGCACUGUGUGUGGCUUCCCAAUCUUAUUCCCCCAAUAACCUCUCCUCACUGGAAUCACUGACAACUUCGCCAAUAUAAUCGCUCCACGUAUAGCAGUAGCCACUUCCUUCGAGCACUUAACACCCAGUCCAACGUGACCAUUACCAUCACCGACAACAACAAAGGCCUUGAACCGGGUUCUCUGACCGGCACGUGUCUGCUUCUGAACCGGCAUGAUUUUCAUCACUUCGUCUUUGAGUGAUGGUCCGAUGAGGUUAUCGAUGAUUUGAUACUCCUUAAUUGGGAGUGAGUGAAGGUAGAUUUGCUCCAAUGACUUGAUCUUCCCAUCUUUAACCAGCCUUCCUAGCUUUGUCACGGGUACCCAUUUCUCCUCCUCUGUAUCACGGCGGGGACGACGACCCCCACGGCCCCUUCCGCCGCGGUCGCUGCCUCUUCCACCCCUUC
Molecule: long non-coding RNA, 1869 nt
Filed under: Capsicum annuum
Lineage: Eukaryota; Viridiplantae; Streptophyta; Magnoliopsida; Solanales; Solanaceae
Description: long non-coding RNA (CANN_LNC006591)
Source: RNAcentral